Molecule: ribosomal RNA, 1437 nt
Filed under: Triticum aestivum (bread wheat)
Lineage: Eukaryota; Viridiplantae; Streptophyta; Magnoliopsida; Poales; Poaceae
Description: partial small subunit ribosomal RNA
Source: RNAcentral
AUGGAGUCAGCGACCAUUUCAAGCAACGUCCGGCGCCAUAACCAGCCAGGUGGGCAUGACCCGGCGCACCAUGGGGCCUUCAACUUGGUAGAUCAAGACAGAAUAUGUCAAGAGGCUGAGCGGGCGGCGGCUGAGCAAGCGGCUCAGCAGACGACUUACCAGCCGUAUCCGGUUUAUCCAACGACUUCUAUCGAGGCAGGUAUGGCCACCAGGACCGAAGGUGUCCCCUGUCUAGCGCCGGCUCUACGUAACGAGCUCUUGCCCAAGGAUUUUAAGGGACCUAGGAAGGUGCCGAACUACACGGCCGACUUACAGCCCGGGGCAUGGAUUGAAAGUUACGUGAUGGCUAUGGAGUUAUUGGAGGUCAGUGAAGUUGCGAUGGCCAAGUACUUUACCAUGAUGUUGGAUGGGACUGCCCGCACUUGGUUGAAAGGCCUGCCACCUAAUUCAAUCAGUUCAUGGGCGGAGCUAAAAGCCCGGUUCAUCCAGAAUUUCAAGGAUACGUGCAAACAGCCCAUGUCAAUUGUGGAUUUGACGAAUUGUAAGCAAGAGGAGGGCGAGUCUACAACCCAUUGGGUGCGCCGGGUUAAAGCCAUAAUACAUUCAUCUGAUAAGAUGGAUGCCGGCUCUGCAGUCUUAAUGUUCGAGAAAAAUUGCCGCUUUUUGCCUCUAAAACAAAAGCUGGGGCGGCUCAAGCGCGAUUGUAAUGAUAUGGGCACGCUGAUGGCGGCCCUGGUCAAGUACUCCGACUCAGAUAGUACCAAGGAUCCCGAGUCUGAUGAUGACAAGACAGGGAAGGGAAAGAAGAAUGGCAACGGCAAGGGCCCUCAGCACAACCCGGCAAAUCAAGGAGGUAAUAAACGUAAGGCUGACGGUAGUUUGGAUUUUGUGGCUAACACUGGUGCACAGGCUAACAACCAACAACGUAAGGGGAGGCCACCUCCCCGGUCUAGCGGGUCAGGCCCCAUGCUUGAGCAGUUAUUGAACGAGCCCUGUCCAAGGCACGACACUCAGCAGAAGCCGGCUACCCAUCUAUGGAAGGACUAUACGAUCAUGAAGGCCUUCAAGAAUUCCAACAUGUUCGAUGGUAACAAUGAGCAGGGCGGCGGCUCAGGAGGCGGCGGUUUUCAUGGCCCGGGCGGCGGUUCAAAUCUCAAUUUUCAAAAUUCUCAAGGCAAUCAAGGUGGAUAUAACCAACAAUCUGGCCAGGGUGGUCAGCAGCAGCAGCAAGGUGGAUACCAGAGCCAUCCAAAGCAGCUGAAUAGUGGCCAAUAUCAUGUGUUUACCACCAGUCUAUGCAAACAGGACCAGAAGCUUCAUAAGAGGGCUGUGAAUGCUGUUGAGCCAGCAGUUCCUCGUUAUUUAAGAUGUCUGAGCAACCUAUUCUAUGGAGUAGGGAAGAUCACCCUCCCUGGGUUGAUAAUCCGGGUCACUUAG